Clostridium autoethanogenum DSM 10061 is the source of this 30-nucleotide non-coding RNA. Lineage: Bacteria; Bacillati; Bacillota; Clostridia; Eubacteriales; Clostridiaceae. The record is from Rfam.
AUUUAAAUACAUCUCAUGUUGAGGUUCAAC